This 371-nucleotide unclassified non-coding RNA is filed under the name uncultured bacterium. RNAcentral's name for it is "contains 16S-23S intergenic spacer region". The record is from RNAcentral.
UCCUCUUUACAGAGGCAGUUUGUUCCGAGUUCCCGACAUUACUCGCUGGCAACAGAACAUGAGGGUUGCGCUCGUUGCGGGACUUAACCCAACAUUUCACAACACGAGCUGACGACAGCCAUGCACCACCUGUGCUUCACCCUCGAAGGCGACCACUUUUGGGUGGCUUGCAGAAACAUGUCAAGCCCUGGUAAGGUUCUUCGCGUUGCAUCGAAUUAAGCCACAUGCUCCACCGCUUGUGCGGGCCCCCGCCAAUUCCUUUGAGUUUCAACCUUGCGGCCGUAGUUCCCAGGCGGUUCACUUAAUGCGUUAGCUGCGGCACCGAGGCGAAGCCCCAACACCUAGUGAACAUCGUUUAUGGCCAAGACUAC